CAAUCCUUCGGGUGCGUUAAUGGGCGUCGAGCGGCGGACGGGUGAGUAAUGCCUAGGAAAUUGCCUUGAUGUGGGGGAUAACCAUUGGAAACGAUGGCUAAUACCGCAUAAUGCCUACGGGCCAAAGAGGGGGACCUUCGGGCCUCUCGCGUCAAGAUAUGCCUAGGUGGGAUUAGCUAGUUGGUGAGGUAAUGGCUCACCAAGGCGACGAUCCCUAGCUGGUCUGAGAGGAUGAUCAGCCACACUGGAACUGAGACACGGUCCAGACUCCUACGGGAGGCAGCAGUGGGGAAUAUUGCACAAUGGGCGAAAGCCUGAUGCAGCCAUGCCGCGUGUAUGAAGAAGGCCUUCGGGUUGUAAAGUACUUUCAGUUGUGAGGAAGGGGGURDMGUUAAUAGCKBYAUCUCUUGACGUUAGCAACAGAAGAAGCACCGGCUAACUCCGUGCCAGCAGCCGCGGUAAUACGGAGGGUGCGAGCGUUAAUCGGAAUUACUGGGCGUAAAGCGCAUGCAGGUGGUUCAUUAAGUCAGAUGUGAAAGCCCGGGGCUCAACCUCGGAACUGCAUUUGAAACUGGUGAACUAGAGUACUGUAGAGGGGGGUAGAAUUUCAGGUGUAGCGGUGAAAUGCGUAGAGAUCUGAAGGAAUACCAGUGGCGAAGGCGGCCCCCUGGACAGAUACUGA
RNAcentral lists this ribosomal RNA (682 nucleotides) under bacterium. RNAcentral's name for it is "bacterial SSU rRNA". The record is from RNAcentral.